CCUUGUGCCAGCCGCCGCGGUAAAACCAGCUCUUCAAGUGGUCGGGAUAAUUAUUGGGCUUAAAGUGUCCGUAGCCGGUUUAGUAAGUUCCUGGUAAAACCGGGCAGCUUAACUGUCCGUAUGCUAGGAAUACUGCUAUGCUAGAGGGCGGGAGAGGUCUGAGGUACUACAGGGGUAGGGGUGAAAUCUUAUAAUCCUUGUAGGACCACCAGUGGCGAAAGCGUCAGACUGGAACGCGCCUGACGGUGAGGGACGAAAGCCAGGGGAGCGAACCGGAUUAGAUACCCGGGUAGUCCUGGCCGUAAACGAUGCAUACUAGGCAAUGGUGCGGCCAUGAGCCGCAUCAGUACCGUAGGGAAACCGUUAAGUGUGCCGCCUGGGAAGUACGGUCGCAAGGCUAAAACUUAAAGGAAUUGGCGGGGGAGCACCACAAGGGGUGAAGCUGCGGUUCAAUUGGACUCAACGCCGGGAAACUUACCAGGGGAGACAGCAGAAUGACAGUCAGGUUGACGACCUUACUCGACGAGCUGAGAGGAGGUGCAUGGCCGUCGCCAGUUCGUGCUGUGAGGUAUCCUGUUAAGUCAGGCAACGAACGAGAUCCGCGCCUUUAUUUGCCAUCAAGAAGUCACGACUUCGUUGGGAACACUAAAGGGACCGCCGUCGAUAAGACGGAGGAAGGAGCGGGCAAAGGCAGGUCUGU
Molecule: ribosomal RNA, 700 nt
Filed under: uncultured crenarchaeote
Lineage: Archaea; Thermoproteati; Thermoproteota
Description: bacterial SSU rRNA
Rfam family: Archaeal small subunit ribosomal RNA
Source: RNAcentral